RNAcentral lists this long non-coding RNA (222 nucleotides) under Malus domestica (apple). Its description in RNAcentral is "long non-coding RNA (MDOM_LNC004580)". Lineage: Eukaryota; Viridiplantae; Streptophyta; Magnoliopsida; Rosales; Rosaceae. The record is from RNAcentral.
AACCUAACCAUUAGACAUCUAUGAUGCCUCAGGUUAAAGGACUACUUUGCAUAUUGCAACUUUCGAGUUCUUUACAUGACAUGUAUGUUCGAACUUUCUUUUGAUCGUUGUUCAGUGUACUCGAUUACUCUUUCGAGCACCUAUGUGUUUGUCUUAGUGUCCAACACCAAAUGACUUGAGACUAGUCAUACUCACGCUUGAGUCAACAUAACAUAUACUAGC